GAUGAACGCUGGCGGCGUGCCUAAUACAUGCAAGUCGAGCGAACAGACGAGUAGUUUGCCCCUCUGACGUUAGCCGCGGGCGGGUGAGUAACAUGGGGAUAACUUACCUAUAAGACUGGGACAAGUUCGGGAAACCGGAGCUAAUACAGGAGAAUAUAUGGAAACGCAUGGUUCAAUAGUGGAAGAGCGCUUUGCUGUCACUUAUUGACGGAUCAGCGGCGGAUUAGCUAGUUGGUAGGGUAACGGCCUACCAAGGCGACGAUGAGUAGCCGACCUGAGAGGGCGAUCAGCCACACUGGGACUGAGACACGGCCCAGACUCCUACGGGAGGCAGCAGUGGGGAAUCUUGGGCAAUGGGCGAAAGCCUGACGGAGCAACGCCGCGUGUGUGAAGAAGGUCUUCGGGUCGUAAAACACUGUUAUUCGGGAAGAACACAUGUGUCAGAAACCAGGCAGGUGAUGACGGUACCUGAAGAGAAAGCCACGGCUAACUACGUG
Molecule: ribosomal RNA, 497 nt
Filed under: uncultured bacterium
Lineage: Bacteria
Description: partial 16S ribosomal RNA
Rfam family: Bacterial small subunit ribosomal RNA
Source: RNAcentral